Molecule: ribosomal RNA, 459 nt
Filed under: Triticum aestivum (bread wheat)
Lineage: Eukaryota; Viridiplantae; Streptophyta; Magnoliopsida; Poales; Poaceae
Description: partial small subunit ribosomal RNA
Source: RNAcentral
AUGCACAUGACCUUCUACUGGGGCACGUCCGCGACGAUCCUGUUCGACGGCUGGCGCACGUCCGCGUGGACGGGCUACCUCCUCUCCCUCCUGGCGCUCUUCCUCGCCGCCGCCUUCUACCAGUACCUCGAGGCCUUCCGGAUCCGCGUCAAGCUCCUCGCCGGCGCCAAGGCGUACCCCCUGCCCCCGCCCGCCGGCUCCGACGCGCGGGCCCCGCUGCUCGCGCCGGGCUCCGCCGCCUUCUUGGGCGGGCGCUGGCCGGCGCGGGUGGCCACGGCGGCGCUCUUCGGGGUCAACGCGGGCAUAGGGUACCUCCUCAUGCUCGCCGUCAUGUCGUUCAACGGCGGGGUGUUCAUCGCCGUGGUGCUCGGGCUCGCGGCCGGGUACCUGGCGUUCCGCAGCGGCGACGUGGGCGGGGACGACCUCGUCGUGGUCGACAACCCCUGCGCCUGCGCGUAG